GGAGGAAUACUCAAGUGGCUGAAGAGGCGGGCUUGGAAAGCUCGUAGGCUGUCAAAGGCGCAGGGGUUCAAAUCCCCUUUCCUCCGCCA
RNAcentral lists this transfer RNA (89 nucleotides) under Acholeplasma sp. Its description in RNAcentral is "tRNA-Ser". It matches the Rfam family "tRNA". Rfam says of the family: Transfer RNA (tRNA) molecules are approximately 80 nucleotides in length. Their secondary structure includes four short double-helical elements and three loops (D, anti-codon, and T loops). The record is from RNAcentral. RNAcentral also lists the same sequence under 4 other names. Lineage: Bacteria; Bacillati; Mycoplasmatota; Mollicutes; Acholeplasmatales; Acholeplasmataceae.